UUGAUUGGUCGAAAGACCUUAUCAGAUUCUACCACCUCUGUGAAACCGUUGACCUCCGGGUUAAUAAUCAAACAUCAGUGUAGCGAACGUAAGAGUAUCUUAAUUAAACA
RNAcentral lists this unclassified non-coding RNA (110 nucleotides) under soil metagenome. RNAcentral describes it as "partial internal transcribed spacer 1". The record is from RNAcentral.